RNAcentral lists this ribosomal RNA (253 nucleotides) under uncultured bacterium. Its description in RNAcentral is "partial 16S ribosomal RNA". It matches the Rfam family "Bacterial small subunit ribosomal RNA", at positions 524 to 776 of the family's 1533-position model. The record is from RNAcentral.
UACGGAGGGUGCUAGCGUUGUUCGGAAUUACUGGGCGUAAAGGGCGCGUAGGCGGCCAUUUAAGUCAGUUGUGAAAGCCUGGAGCUUAACCCCGGAACGGCAGCCGAGACUGGUUGGCUCGAGACCGGGAGAGGAGGGCGGAAUACCCAGUGUAGAGGUGAAAUUCGUAGAUAUUGCGCGGAACACCGGUGGCGAAAGCAGCUCUCUGGACCGGUUCUGACGCUGAGGCGCGAAAGCGUGGGUAGCAAACAGG